CCGACGGUGAGAGAUGAAAGCUGGGGGAGCAAACCGGAUUAGAUACCCGGGUAGUCCCAGCUGUAAACGAUGCAAACUAGGUGAUGCGUUGGCUUGUUGCUAGCGCAGUGCCUCAGGGAAGCCGUUAAGUUUGCCGCCUGGGAAGUACGUACGCAAGUAUGAAACUUAAAGGAAUUGGCGGGGGAGCACCACAAGGGGUGAAGCCUGCGGUUCAAUUGGAGUCAACGCCUGAAACCUUACCCGGAGAGACAGCAGAAUGAAGGUCAAGCUGAAGACUUUACCAGACAAGCUGAGAGGUGGUGCAUGGCCGUCGCCAGCUCGUGCCGUGAGAUGUCCUGUUAAGUCAGGUAACGAGCGAGAUCCCUGCCUCUAGUUGCCACUAUUACACCCUGGUGUAGUAGGGCGAAUUAGGGGGACCGCCGCAGUUAAUGCGGAGGAAGGAAGGGGCCACGGCAGGUCAGUAUGCCCCGAAACUCUGGGGCCACACGCGGGCUGCAAUGGUAGCGACAAUGAGUUUCAAAAUCGAAAGAUGGAGGCAAUCUCUAAACGUUACCACAGUUAUGAUUGAGGGCUGCAACUCGCCCUCAUGAAUAUGGAAUCCCUAGUAACCGCGUGUCAUUAUCGCGCAGUGAAUACGUCCCUGCUCCUUGCACACACCGCCCGU
Molecule: ribosomal RNA, 664 nt
Filed under: uncultured archaeon
Lineage: Archaea
Description: bacterial SSU rRNA
Rfam family: Archaeal small subunit ribosomal RNA
Source: RNAcentral